CCAUACAGACCGGGGAGUUAGCGGUGUCCUGUACCUGAAAUCCGCUGAAGCAGGGGUUAUGUCCACAAUUGAGGGGCUUUUUUGUUCGGCUUGCGCCGUAUUUCCGCGCGUAGAAGAAUGGGUCCCGCGCAAUCGGAAGCCGUGAACCAUGUCAGGUGGGGAACCAAGCAGCAUUAAGCGGUGUAUCCGAUGUGCCGCGGGUGUGCCUGUUCCGAGCGCGGGGUGCGGUUUACACGAGUGAAGGGGUUUCGAUUUUGCGGCGUAUGG
RNAcentral lists this signal recognition particle RNA (267 nucleotides) under Bacillota bacterium. Its description in RNAcentral is "signal recognition particle sRNA large type". It matches the Rfam family "Bacterial large signal recognition particle RNA". Rfam says of the family: The signal recognition particle (SRP) is a universally conserved ribonucleoprotein involved in the co-translational targeting of proteins to membranes. Archaeal SRP consists of a 7S RNA and homologues of the eukaryotic SRP19 and SRP54 proteins. Lineage: Bacteria; Bacillati; Bacillota. The record is from RNAcentral.